This is a long non-coding RNA of Hyaena hyaena (striped hyena), 159 nucleotides long. RefSeq lists it as uncharacterized. The record is from RefSeq and is a predicted model, not a curated record. NCBI's taxonomy places the organism in Eukaryota, Metazoa, Chordata, Mammalia, Carnivora, Hyaenidae. The transcript is spliced from 2 exons.
GAUCUAGACUCCAGGAGCAUUACACCUGCCCUCUAGGCAUUUUCCAGACAAAGGCACCCAGAAGGAGAAGCGACUUACCCAGGUGACUUCUGGAUACCAGUGUUCCCAAAAGAGUGACUGCAGUUGUUGAAUUAACAGGGGUGGAAAAGAUAUUCAGAG